RNAcentral lists this long non-coding RNA (225 nucleotides) under Trifolium pratense (red clover). RNAcentral's name for it is "long non-coding RNA (TPRA_LNC013722)". The record is from RNAcentral. Lineage: Eukaryota; Viridiplantae; Streptophyta; Magnoliopsida; Fabales; Fabaceae.
CAUCUGAUAUUUGUAGUGGAUCCUCGUCAAUCUUCAUCUGUUGUCUGGAUUUCUCUCCAAACUUCAACCUUCCAUCUUUCAAAGCCUUUUGAACCAGAUCCCUGAAAAGAACACAUUGUGAGGUUUUAUGACCCAAAAAAUUAUGAAAUUUGCAAAAACCUCUUUUCUUUUGUUGUUCAAGGGGAGGCACUUUAAAUCCCUUUGGAACAACAAUUUGGCCAUCAG